UACGGAGGGUGCAAGCGUUGUUCGGAAUCACUGGGCGUAAAGGGCGUGUAGGCGGUCUGUUAAGUCUGGUGUGAAAUCCCCCCGCUCAACGGGGGAACGGCGCCGGAAACUGGCAGACUAGAGUACCGGAGAGGAAGGUGGAAUUCCCGGUGUAGCGGUGAAAUGCGUAGAUAUCCGGAGGAAGACCGGUGGCGAAGGCGGCCUGCUGGGCAGUUACUGACACUGAGGCGCGACAGCGUGGGGAGCAAACAGG
RNAcentral lists this ribosomal RNA (253 nucleotides) under uncultured bacterium. RNAcentral's name for it is "partial 16S ribosomal RNA". It matches the Rfam family "Bacterial small subunit ribosomal RNA", at positions 524 to 776 of the family's 1533-position model. The record is from RNAcentral.